Molecule: ribosomal RNA, 307 nt
Filed under: Odontosyllis detecta
Lineage: Eukaryota; Metazoa; Annelida; Polychaeta; Phyllodocida; Syllidae
Description: partial large subunit ribosomal RNA
Source: RNAcentral
GGGCUAGUAUGAAUGAAUAAACAAAUUUCGUCUGUCUCACCUUUAACAAUAUAAAUUAAUCUUUAAGUGAAGAGGCUUAAAUUUCUUAAAAAGACAAGAAGACCCUAAUAAGCUUUAUUUAUUUAAAAUUUUUUAAAUUUUACUAAAUUUUAUUGGGGCAAUAAAAAAUAAAAAAAAUCAUUUUAAUUUUAAAGAAUAACAAUUCAAUAUAAUAAACUUUUCUAUAAAAAAGAGAUAGCUACUAUAGGGAUAACAGGCUAAUACUUUUUAAGAGCUCUUAUCAACAAAAGUGAUUGGCACCUCGAUG